AUUGAACGCUGGCGGCAUGCCUUACACAUGCAAGUCGAACGGUAACAGGUCUUCUUAUGCUUACGAGUGGCUAACGGGUGAGUAAUACAUCCGAACGUGCCCGUUCUUUGGGGGUAACUAAGCGAAAGCUUUGCUAAUACCUCAUAAGUUCUACGUAUGAAAGCAGGGGACCGCCAGUCCUUGCGCGAACUGAGCGGCUGAUGGCUGAUUAGGUAGUUGGUGGGAUAAAAGCUUACCAAGCCGACGAUCUGUAGCUGGUCUGAGAGGACGACCAGCCACACUGGGACUGAGACACGGCCCAGACUCCUACGGGAGGCAGCAGUGGGGAAUUUUGGGCAAUGGGCGAAAGCCUGAUCCAGCAAUGCCGCGUGCAGGAUGAAGGCCUUCGGGUUGUAAACUGCUUUUGUACGGAAAGAAAAGACUCUGGUUAAUACCUGGGGUGCAUGACGGUACCGGAAGAAUAAGCACCGGCUAACUACGUG
RNAcentral lists this ribosomal RNA (482 nucleotides) under uncultured bacterium. Its description in RNAcentral is "partial 16S ribosomal RNA". It matches the Rfam family "Bacterial small subunit ribosomal RNA", at positions 30 to 507 of the family's 1533-position model. The record is from RNAcentral.